UACGGAGGGUGCGAGCGUUGUCCGGAAUCACUGGGCGUAAAGGGCGCGUAGGCGGCAUGCCAAGCGUGUGGUGAAAGCCCGGGGCUCAACCCCGGGUCGGCCGUGCGGACUGGCGUGCUCGAGCACUGUAGGGGCGGGUGGAAUUCCUGGUGUAGCGGUGAAAUGCGUAGAUAUCAGGAGGAACACCUGCGGUGUAGACGGCUUACUGGACGGUAACUGACGCUGAGGCACGAAAGCGUGGGUAGCAAACAGG
RNAcentral lists this ribosomal RNA (253 nucleotides) under uncultured bacterium. RNAcentral describes it as "partial 16S ribosomal RNA". It matches the Rfam family "Bacterial small subunit ribosomal RNA", at positions 524 to 776 of the family's 1533-position model. The record is from RNAcentral.